CCAGAGGGUCGGGCGGCCGCCGGCGCGUUUAUCGUGCGGGAGGAAAGUCCGGGCUCCGAGGAGCGGCGGUGCCGGGUAACGCCCGGCGGGGGUGACCCCAGGGAAAGUGCCACAGAAAAUAAACCGCCCGGCGGGCCGGCAACGGCUCCGGGUAAGGGCGAAACGGUGCGGCAAGAGCGCACCGCGCGGAUGGCAACAUCGGCGGCAUGGCAAACCCCACCGGGAGCAAGACCGAAUAGGGACGGCAUAUGGGCCUGCUCCGCCCCGUCGUCCGGGUUGGUUGCUGGAGGCCGCAGGCGACUGCGGCCCUAGAGGAAUGGUCGCCCAUCCGGCCUUCGGGCCGGUGGACAGAACCCGGCUUACAGACCCUCUGGCGCU
Molecule: RNase P RNA, 378 nt
Filed under: Sphingomonas oleivorans
Lineage: Bacteria; Pseudomonadati; Pseudomonadota; Alphaproteobacteria; Sphingomonadales; Sphingomonadaceae
Description: Bacterial RNase P class A
Rfam family: Bacterial RNase P class A
About the family: Ribonuclease P (RNase P) is a ubiquitous endoribonuclease, found in archaea, bacteria and eukarya as well as chloroplasts and mitochondria. Its best characterised activity is the generation of mature 5'-ends of tRNAs by cleaving the 5'-leader elements of precursor-tRNAs.
Source: Rfam by way of RNAcentral